RNAcentral lists this non-coding RNA (30 nucleotides) under Rattus norvegicus (Norway rat). Lineage: Eukaryota; Metazoa; Chordata; Mammalia; Rodentia; Muridae. The record is from RNAcentral.
UACUAAUCUACUGCUACUGCUAAUAAAUAC